Etheostoma spectabile (orangethroat darter) is the source of this 219-nucleotide long non-coding RNA. RefSeq lists it as uncharacterized. The record is from RefSeq and is a predicted model, not a curated record. NCBI's taxonomy places the organism in Eukaryota, Metazoa, Chordata, Actinopteri, Perciformes, Percidae. The transcript is spliced from 3 exons.
CCCCUCUCAUUCCCCCUGCUCUGGUGUUUCCUCCUCAUUCCCCCUGCUCUGGCGUUUCCGAGCCCCUGACGCCCACGUUUCUCCUCCUGAUUGGGUAUUACAGAACGUCUCGUUCUCUAAAACUUAAAGCUACUAACGUUACCAUGGUAACCACCAGCAGUGGGCGGAGUCUCCAAGCUGCCUCCUGUUUAUGUCCAGUGUAACAGGAUGAUGAUUAUC